GAGGGGCAGCGGGGUAGUGCUUGCACUACUGCCGGCGACCGGCGCACGGGUGAGUAACACGUAUGGAACCUGCCCGCAGCAGGGGGAUAAGCGGAAGAAAUUCCGUCUAAUACCGCGUAACAACGUUGGGAGGCAUCUCCCGAUGUUUAAAGAUUUAUCGGCUGCGGAUGGCCAUGCGGCGCAUUAGCUAGUCGGCGGGGUAACGGCCCACCGAGGCGACGAUGCGUAGGGGUUCUGAGAGGAAGGUCCCCCACACUGGUACUGAGACACGGACCAGACUCCUACGGGAGGCAGCAGUGAGGAAUAUUGGUCAAUGGCCGAGAGGCUGAACCAGCCUAGUCGCGUGAGGGAAGACGGCCCUACGGGUUGUAAACCUCUUUUGUCGGGGAGCAAAGCGAACCACGUGUGGUUCAUUGAGAGUACCCGAAGAAAAAGCAUCGGCUAACUCCGUGCCAGCAGCCGCGGUAAUACGGAGGAUGCGAGCGUUAUCCGGAUUUAUUGGGUUUAAAGGGUGCGCAGGCGGAGGUGCAAGUCAGCGGUCAAAUUGCGGGGCUCAACCCCGUACUGCCGUUGAAACUGCAUCCCUUGAGUGCGCGAGA
This 599-nucleotide ribosomal RNA is filed under the name uncultured bacterium. Its description in RNAcentral is "bacterial SSU rRNA". It matches the Rfam family "Bacterial small subunit ribosomal RNA", at positions 64 to 655 of the family's 1533-position model. The record is from RNAcentral.